UUCGUUUUGGUGCCGCACAGAGGAUCAGCUCCGCCUCCAGGCGGCCCCGUAAAUUCUACUGUCAAACAGCGGAUCCUGAGUGGACCCAUGUCGGAUCCGCGGGCGCGGACGCGCAUUUACUGUAACGGUUGAACAUGACUGUACACCAAGAGCCAAGAAGAGUCAUACUAGUGGAUAUUUUCUUUGCUGGGACACGGUUGCGCUGAACCCUCUCGACGUCAACUUUUAUCGGCUGGAUUCUAGCAUCUAACGUUACGAUUGCCUCUGUUGGGUUUGCUUGAUCAACCAUCGUUUCGGGGACUCUGAUGACAGUGAAGAGCCAGAAAAUGGUGACUUUGCAUCUCUGAGGUACCUUCCAAGGCAAUUGCACUGGCAAACUCCACCAUCUCGCCGAGGAGUGCCAGGCAGCAAGUCACUACCCCUCAACCUGGAGAAAUCUGUUAAGCACCUCACCAUGGGGCAGGACCGAACACUCUUCA
This is a long non-coding RNA of Alosa alosa (allis shad), 479 nucleotides long. RefSeq lists it as uncharacterized. The record is from RefSeq and is a predicted model, not a curated record. NCBI's taxonomy places the organism in Eukaryota, Metazoa, Chordata, Actinopteri, Clupeiformes, Clupeidae. The transcript has 5 exons.